UGAAGUAAAAUAACGUCCAAAUAAAAGUUCCAGUUCACACAGUGAAGAUGUGACAGAGGAAGGAUGAACUUCGGUAUCUUGUCAGGAUAGAAGAUGGUAGAAUGGCAAAGACAAAGAGGAUGGUCAGACAACUGACGACAAUGUGGUGCUUGAUCAAAGGCGGACAAUAGAUGCUUUUGAAGAUGAGCAAUGUAAAUUUCCAUUGAAUCUUUGACAGAGACGAGUGAUGGAUUUAACACUUUUCCUCAAUCGCUGUUUCCUUCUCCAGCAAUCAUUUUUUGCUGAUGACAGAUUUUUAUCUGACUAUGACAAAGUCUCCCACGAUAGUUUUUAUACUACUUCUCAUGAUCUGACCUUUCACCUAUAUAAAGGAUGGCAUAAGAUCUCACUCAUAACAUUGAUCAUCAUCAAACACCCGUUUUAUACUUGUCUUGAUUUAAUUCAUUUGGGGACAAGAGUCCACAGGCUUCAUGUUAUCAUGUGUCACAUUGCGAUGUCUCUCUCUCUCUUUCUCC
This 515-nucleotide long non-coding RNA is filed under the name Androctonus crassicauda. Lineage: Eukaryota; Metazoa; Arthropoda; Arachnida; Scorpiones; Buthidae. The record is from RNAcentral.